RNAcentral lists this ribosomal RNA (399 nucleotides) under uncultured bacterium. Its description in RNAcentral is "bacterial SSU rRNA". It matches the Rfam family "Bacterial small subunit ribosomal RNA", at positions 355 to 771 of the family's 1533-position model. The record is from RNAcentral.
UGGGGAAUAUUGGACAAUGGGCGCAAGCCUGAUCCAGCCAUGCCGCGUGAGUGAUGAAGGCCCUAGGGUUGUAAAGCUCUUUCACCGGUGAAGAUAAUGACGGUAACCGGAGAAGAAGCCCCGGCUAACUUCGUGCCAGCAGCCGCGGUAAUACGAAGGGGGCUAGCGUUGUUCGGAAUUACUGGGCGUAAAGCGCACGUAGGCGGAUUGUUAAGUUAGGGGUGAAAUCCCAGGGCUCAACCCUGGAACUGCCUUUAAUACUGGCAAUCUUGAGUUCGAGAGAGGUGAGUGGAAUUCCGAGUGUAGAGGUGAAAUUCGUAGAUAUUCGGAGGAACACCAGUGGCGAAGGCGGCUCACUGGCUCGAUACUGACGCUGAGGUGCGAAAGCGUGGGGAGCAA